CUCGUUUUCAUAUCAUAUAAAGGGACAUAACUGAAGAACAGUAAAAAUGACCCUACUAAAAUUUGUACUUUAUCUGUAGUUUGAUGUAAUAAACUGCUUCGCUGGGCACAGCUGGAAACAACUACAGAGGUUCAACUCUGAACAGUUGGGGCAAAUAUGGACACAAUAUUCAAGCUUGAUACAGGUCGGAAUUUGGAUUGCAAUUAAAUAUUUGACAUAUUACAGGUUUCUGAAUAAAU
Molecule: long non-coding RNA, 239 nt
Filed under: Mytilus galloprovincialis (Mediterranean mussel)
Lineage: Eukaryota; Metazoa; Mollusca; Bivalvia; Mytilida; Mytilidae
Source: RNAcentral